GAGGGUAUAGCUCAGUGGCAGAGUGAGUGCUUAGCAGGCAUGAGGUCCUGGGUUCAAUCCCUAGUACCUCCA
This 72-nucleotide transfer RNA is filed under the name Camelus bactrianus (Bactrian camel). It matches the Rfam family "tRNA". From Rfam's summary of the family: Transfer RNA (tRNA) molecules are approximately 80 nucleotides in length. Their secondary structure includes four short double-helical elements and three loops (D, anti-codon, and T loops). Further hydrogen bonds mediate the characteristic L-shaped molecular structure. tRNAs have two regions of fundamental functional importance: the anti-codon, which is responsible for specific mRNA codon recognition, and the 3' end, to which the tRNAs corresponding amino acid is attached (by aminoacyl-tRNA synthetases). tRNAs cope with the degeneracy of the genetic code in two manners: having more than one tRNA (with a specific anti-codon) for a particular amino acid; and 'wobble' base-pairing, i.e. permitting non-standard base-pairing at the 3rd anti-codon position. Lineage: Eukaryota; Metazoa; Chordata; Mammalia; Artiodactyla; Camelidae. The record is from Rfam by way of RNAcentral. RNAcentral also lists the same sequence under 2 other names.